This 566-nucleotide ribosomal RNA is filed under the name uncultured archaeon. RNAcentral describes it as "partial 16S ribosomal RNA". The record is from RNAcentral.
GUGAUCAAUUGAACCGCAGGCUUCACCCCUUGUGGUGCUCCCCCGCCAAUUCCUUUAAGUUUCAUACUUGCGUACGUACUUCCCAGGCGGCAGACUUAACGGCUUCCCUGCGGCACUGCAUUGGCCACAAGCCAAUGCAUCACCGAGUCUGCAUCGUUUACGGCUGGGACUACCCGGGUAUCUAAUCCGGUUUGCUCCCCCAGCUUUCAUCCCUCACCGUCGAACGUGUUCUGGUACACCGCCUUCGCCACAGGUGGUCUUCAAUAGAUCAAAGGAUUUUACCCCUUCCUAUCGAGUACCGUGUACCUCUCCCACUCCCUAGCUGCACAGUAUUUUCGGCGGCCUAUACGUUAAGCGCAUAGAUUUAACCGAAAGCUUAUGCAACCGGCUACGGAUGCUUUAGGCCCAAUAAACCUCCUGACCACUCGAGGUGCUGGUUUUACCGCGGCGGCUGACACCAGAACUUGCCCACCCCUUAUUCACCAGUGAUUCUACAACUGACAAAAGACUCCUUUAGCAGGAGACACUCGGAUUAACCUUGUCGUGCUUUCGCACAUUGCAAAGGU